GCUCAGGAUGAACGCUAGCGGCAGGCCUAACACAUGCAAGUCGAGGGGUAACAGGGUAGCAAUACUGCUGACGACCGGCGCACGGGUGAGUAACGCGUAUGCAACCUACCUUUAACUGGAAGAUAGCCCGGGGAAACUCGGAUUAAUACUCCAUAAAGUUCUGAAUUCGCAUGUUUUCAGAAUUAAAGUUCCGACGGUUAAAGAUGGGCAUGCGUGCCAUUAGCUAGUUGGUGAGGUAACGGCUCACCAAGGCUGCGAUGGCUAGGGGGCCUGAGAGGGUAGUCCCCCACACUGGUACUGAGACACGGACCAGACUCCUACGGGAGGCAGCAGUGAGGAAUAUUGGUCAAUGGACGAAAGUCUGAACCAGCCAUGCCGCGUGCAGGAUGAAGGCCCUAUGGGUUGUAAACUGCUUUUCUACGGGAAGAAACUUUCGAUCGUGAUCGGAACUGACGGUACUGUAGGAAUAAGCAUCGGCUAACUCCGUGCCAGCAGCCGCGGUAAUACGGAGGAUGCAAGCGUUAUCCGGAUUCAUUGGGUUUAAAGGGUGCGUAGGCGGAAUAAUAAGUCAGUGGUGAAAUCUUGCAGCUUAACUGUAAAAUUGCCUUUGAUACUGUUAUUCUUGAGUGCAGUUGAGGUAGGCGGAAUGUGUAAUGUAGCGGUGAAAUGCUUAGAUAUUACACAGAACACCGAUUGCGUAGGCAGCUUACUAAACUGUAACUGACGCUGAGGCACGAAAGCGUGGGGAGCAAACAGGAUUAGAUACCCUGGUAGUCCACGCCGUAAACGAUGAUCACUCGCUGUUAGCGAUAAACAGUUAGCGGCUAAGUAAAAGCAUUAAGUGAUCCACCUGGGGAGUACGUCGGCAACGAUGAAACUC
This 880-nucleotide ribosomal RNA is filed under the name uncultured bacterium. RNAcentral's name for it is "bacterial SSU rRNA". It matches the Rfam family "Bacterial small subunit ribosomal RNA", at positions 22 to 902 of the family's 1533-position model. The record is from RNAcentral.